RNAcentral lists this long non-coding RNA (245 nucleotides) under Lathyrus oleraceus (garden pea). RNAcentral describes it as "Pisum sativum (pea) long non-coding RNA (PSAT_LNC008384)". Lineage: Eukaryota; Viridiplantae; Streptophyta; Magnoliopsida; Fabales; Fabaceae. The record is from RNAcentral.
AUCGUUUUAGCAGUUGGAUAUUACAAUUAUCCCAUCGCACCUUAACUAAUACAAAACAUGCACCUCGCGUAGGCGAAACCUACAUUAUUCGAUAUCAGUCUUGAUGAGUGCUAAAACUUGGAAAGCAAACAUAUAUAAUAUUCUCAUAAUUUGUUUAGUUAAGUUUGACCCAUUGUUUUAACAGUUGGAUAUUACAAUUAUCCCAUCGCACCUUACUAAUAUAUAGAUCAUGCACCUCGCGUAGG